CGUAGACUCCUACGGGAGGCAGCAGUGGGGAAUAUUGCACAAUGGGCGCAAGCCUGAUGCAGCCAUGCCGCGUGUAUGAAGAAGGCCUUCGGGUUGUAAAGUACUUUCAGCAGUGAGGAAGGUGGGUAUGUUAAUAGCAUACUCAUUUGACGUUAGCUGCAGAAGAAGCACCGGCUAACUCCGUGCCAGCAGCCGCGGUAAUACGGAGGGUGCGAGCGUUGUCCGGAUUUAUUGGGCGUAAAGGGCUCGUAGGUGGUUGAUCGCGUCGGAAGUGUAAUCUUGGGGCUUAACCCUGAGCGUGCUUUCGAUACGGGUUGACUUGAGGAAGGUAGGGGAGAAUGGAAUUCCUGGUGGAGCGGUGGAAUGCGCAGAUAUCAGGAGGAACACCAGUGGCGAAGGCGGUUCUCUGGGCCUUUCCUGACGCUGAGGAGCGAAAGCGUGGGGAGCGAACAGGCUUAGAUACCCUGGUAG
RNAcentral lists this ribosomal RNA (471 nucleotides) under uncultured bacterium. RNAcentral's name for it is "bacterial SSU rRNA". It matches the Rfam family "Bacterial small subunit ribosomal RNA", at positions 330 to 793 of the family's 1533-position model. The record is from RNAcentral.